GCAAGAUACCACGGGCGCACGGCGGAUGCCUUGGCACAGGGAGCCGAUGAAGGACGCGGCAAGCUGCGAUAAUCCCCGGCGAGGAGCACACAUCCUUCGACCCGGGGGUCUCCGAAUGGGCGAACCCAUCCACAGAGGUGUGGAUAUCCCGGCCCCGAACACAUAGGGGCCGGGAGGACAACCCGGGGAACUGAAACAUCUAAGUACCCGGAGGAGAGGAAAUCAAUCUCGAGACUCCCCGAGUAGCGGCGAGCGAAAGGGGACCGAUGGCCAAACCGUCGAGCGGGCAUACCCGGCAGGGGUUCCGCCGACGGGGUUGCAGGGCCGCGCAUCCGGGGGCUGCCGCCCCCGGGCGCAGGUCCGGCUGGGGAGCGGAACGGCAUGGGAGGGCCGGCCGCAGCGGGUGACAGCCCCGUACGCGAACCCAGACCGGACGGCGCGACGCGGUCCCUGAGUAGGGCCGGGCACGUGAAACCCGGUCCGAACCUGGGUGGACCACCAUCCAAGCCUGAGUACUACCCUGUGACCGAUAGCGCACCAGUACCGUGAGGGAAAGGUGAAAAGCACCCCGGGAGGGGAGUGAAACAGUACCUGAAACCGUGCGCCCACGAGCAGUCGGAGCACCCUUGUGGUGUGACGGCGUGCCUUUUGUAGAAUGAGCCAGCGAGUCGCUGGCGCGGGGCGAGGUUAACCGAAAGGGAGCCGGAGCGAAAGCGAGCCUUAACAGGGCGACUUGAGUCCCGCGCCGCGGACGCGAAGCCGGGUGAGCUAUCCGUGGGCAGGCUGAAGCGGGGGUAAGACCCCGUGGAGGGCCGAACGCACGUCGGUUGAAAACGGCGGCGAUGACCUGCGGAUAGGGGUGAAAGGCCAAUCAAACCCGGAGAUAUCUCGUUCUCCCCGAAAUAGCUUUAGGGCUAGCGUCGCGCGUUCACCGCCGGAGGUAGAGCACCGGAUGGACGAGGGGGCUUCGCCGCCUACCGAAUCCAACCGAACUCCGAAUGCCGGCGGCCCAGAGCGCGGCAGUCAGAGCAUGUGGGCUAAGCUGUGUGCUCGAGAGGGAAACAGCCCGGACCGCCCGCUAAGGUCCCCAAGUUCCAGCCGAGUGGCAAAGGAUGUGCGUCCGCCCAGACAACCAGGAUGUUGGCUUAGAAGCAGCCAUCCAUUCAAAGAGUGCGUAACAGCUCACUGGUCGAGUGGACAUGCGCCGACAAUACACGGGGCUAAGCUGGACACCGAAGCGGCGGGAUUUUGAUUUUCAGAAUCGGUAGGGGAGCUUCCCAUGGGCGGCGAAGCCGCCGGGCGACCGGCGGUGGAGCGCAUGGGAGUGAGAAUGCUGGCAUGAGUAGCGAGAGACGAGAGAGUAACUCGUCCGCCGUGAACCCGAGGUUUCCUGGGCAAGGCUAAUCCUCCCAGGGUCAGUCGGGGGCUAAGGCGAGGCCGGGAGGCGUAGCCGACGCGCAGCAGGCAGACAUUCCUGCACCGCGCACGCGGCGCUACGACCGACGGGGCGACGGAUGGGGGUGGCUCGGCGGGGUUCUGGACGUCCCCGUGAUGGAGCGCGGCCCGCGGACCAGGGAAAUCCGGUCCGCACGAGGGCGAGGCUCCGGACGAAGCGAUCAAGCGAAGCGAGUGAGCCCGAGGUCCCUAGAAAAACCCCUAGGCAGGCGCGUGCGCGCCCGUACCGCAAACCGACACAGGUGGGUGGGUAGAACAUACCGAGGCGAUCGGGUCAACCAUGGUCAAGGAACUCGGCACAAUGGCCCCGUAACUUCGGGAGAAGGGGUGCCCGCGCGUACGUGAACCGGCUUGCCCGGGGAGCGGAGGCGGGCCGCAGUGGAGAGGCCCAAGCGACUGUUUACCAAAAACACAGGACUCUGCAGAAGCCGCAAGGCGACGUAUAGGGUCUGACGCCUGCCCGGUGCCGGAAGGUCACGCGGAGGAGUUAGCCGCAAGGCGAAGCCCCGAAGCCAAGCCCCGGUAAACGGCGGCCGUAACUAUAACGGUCCUAAGGUAGCGAAAUUCCUUGUCGGGUAAGUUCCGACCUGCACGAAAGGCGCAACGACUUGGGCGCUGUCUCGACCAUGGACCCGGUGAAAUUGCACUGGUCGUGAAGAUGCGACUUACCCGCGGAAGGACGGAAAGACCCCGUGAACCUUCACUGCAGCUUGGCAUUGGCCGCUGGUCCCGCGUGUAGAGGAUAGGCAGGAGGCACAGAUCCGGAGGCGCCAGCCCCCGGGGAGCCGCCCUUGGAAUACUGCCCUCGCGCGACCGGCGUCCUAACCCGAGGCCGUCAACCGGCUCGGGGACCGUGCCAGGCGGGCAGUUUGACUGGGGCGGUCGCCUCCUAAAGGGUAACGGAGGCGCGCGAAGGUCCGCUCGGGACGGUCGGCAACCGUCCUUUUGAAUGCAAGAGUACAAGCGGGCUUGACUGCGAGGCCCACAAGCCGAGCAGGUGCGAAAGCAGGCUCUAGUGAUCCGGCGGCCCCGAGUGGGUGGGCCGUCGCUCAACGGAUAAAAGGUACUCCGGGGAUAACAGGCUGAUCUUGCCCAAGAGUCCACAUCGACGGCAAGGUUUGGCACCUCGAUGUCGGCUCAUCGCAUCCUGGGGCUGGAGCAGGUCCCAAGGGUACGGCUGUUCGCCGUUUAAAGCGGUACGCGAGCUGGGUUCAGAACGUCGUGAGACAGUUCGGUCCCUAUCCUCCGUGGGCGCAGGAGAAUCGAUGGAGGCUGCCCCCAGUACGAGAGGACCGGGGUGGACGCACCUCCGGUGAACCGGUUGUCGACCAACGGCACGGCCGGGUAGCCGCGUGCGGCGCGGAUAACCGCUGAAGGCAUCUAAGCGGGAAGCCGUUCCAGGGAUUAGUUCUCCUUCCGGUAAGGGCCCAGGUAGACUACCUGGUCGAUAGACGGCAGGUGCAAGGACGGCGACGUCCUCAGCCGAGCCGCACUAAUCGCCCGAGCUCUUCC
RNAcentral lists this ribosomal RNA (2967 nucleotides) under Collinsella sp. AM15-2. Its description in RNAcentral is "23S ribosomal RNA". It matches the Rfam family "Bacterial large subunit ribosomal RNA". The record is from RNAcentral. Lineage: Bacteria; Bacillati; Actinomycetota; Coriobacteriia; Coriobacteriales; Coriobacteriaceae.